RNAcentral lists this ribosomal RNA (198 nucleotides) under uncultured bacterium. RNAcentral's name for it is "partial 16S ribosomal RNA". It matches the Rfam family "Bacterial small subunit ribosomal RNA", at positions 335 to 524 of the family's 1533-position model. The record is from RNAcentral.
ACUCCUACGGGAGGCAGCAGUGGGGAAUAUUGGACAAUGGGCGGAAGCCUGAUCCAGCCAUGCCGCGUGUGUGAAGAAGGCCUUUUGGUUGUAAAGCACUUUAAGCGAGGAGGAGGCUACCUGGAUUAAUACUCUAGGAUAGUGGACGUUACUCGCAGAAUAAGCACCGGCUAACUCUGUGCCAGCAGCCGCGGUAAU